Long non-coding RNA from Bactrocera oleae (olive fruit fly), 888 nucleotides. RefSeq lists it as uncharacterized. The record is from RefSeq and is a predicted model, not a curated record. Lineage: Eukaryota; Metazoa; Arthropoda; Insecta; Diptera; Tephritidae.
CUUAAAGCCGACUGUGUUAUCGACUACCAACGAAAUAACAAGGGUGUAGCCUAUUUUUACUCUUACAUAUAGUUUUAGUACUUGGCAACGAAACGCUCACUGAUAAGCAUAUAAGAUCUCCGGUUUACCAAAGAAUGAAAAUUUUUAAAACUGCUUUUAGAUAUUUACUUCGUCAUCACAUAAAGGAUGUUUUACAUUUUGUUUUUGCAAAUACAUAUACAAGUAUAUGUAUGUAUGGAGAUAUGUUGGAGUGAGUUUGCUGAAUCGGUACAAUAAGUACUGAGAUCUGAGUACGUUAAUCAACGCUGAGCGAAAUACAGACAACACACACUGCAAAUAAUAAACAAGGGAGCAGAGAAUGUGUGGAGAGGAGCAAUGGGCACAAAAAUGCUGCGCAUUAUAAGUGUGUGAUAAGUAGGUAUGAAACCAAGAAUACUACAUCAUGUUUAAAGCUGUUUGGGGGCUUAAAGUAAUGAGUUGCAAUUGAGCUUCAUUAUUCAUAUAUUUUAAGAAUAGUAGUUACAUAAAUAAAGGGUUGAGUGAAGCAUAUUACGCGGGACAUGCAAUGUCGGAUUUAUAUCCGAUAUAAUAUUAUAUUGUUCAAUAAAUUAAUAAUACUUAACUUAAAUUGUAGUAGUUUAAACCUGAUUCUUUUAAUUUUCCAAUAUAAAAAUAAACAUUUAACACCAACUUUGUAAUUUUCAAUGUGUUUGCUGUCAUAUGCUAUAUAUUCGUAAAAUCUCCGGGCAGCAGUUUCGCGCCUCAACCGAAAAACAUGGGGAUGAAUUAUUUUGGUAUACACGUGCUAAUGACAGCUAACGGUUACAAAAACAACAAUGUCUUGAUUUUUUAUAUCUAAUUAAAGUUUUAAAAUAUGAUCCUGAAUAA